This 399-nucleotide ribosomal RNA is filed under the name Hyrtios sp. GW3099. RNAcentral describes it as "partial 28S large subunit ribosomal RNA". Lineage: Eukaryota; Metazoa; Porifera; Demospongiae; Dictyoceratida; Thorectidae. The record is from RNAcentral.
CGGGGUUGGUGCAGUGAUCGUGCAGGUUCAAGUGCUGCCAAAGGUGCCGACGGGAAGACGGAGAUCGUCCCUCGACGUCCACCNGAGGCAGCGUCGUACUCCUUGCACGGACACGGACCAGCAGCAGUUGCGCCGGAGCCACAAGGCAGCGUGGAAGGUGAGUCGAUGCGAGCUUGUYUCRYGUYGACAGCUUACAGACUCGCUGGCCGGAGUGCCGGUGCGACUGAGGAACAAGGGCAGCCCCUGCCCGCCGUGGUGCACGCCGAAYGGCGGGGCCUCCCAACAYGAGCGAGCCGUGCGGUCUGGACUGCAUGCAGUGCUGCCACCGUGGCGGCRAACYCGUGUUGGUGAGUGCCACCUGUGCACCAGUGCUGCUGGUAUUCAGACGGCCCCGUCCGA